AACGAACGCUGGCGGCGUGCCUAACACAUGCAAGUCGUGCGAGAAAGUUCCUUCGGGAGCGAGUAAAGCGGCGCACGGGUGAGUAACACGUAGGUAACCUGCCCCCCAGUCUGGAACAACUAGAGGAAACUCUAGCUAAUGCCGGAUGAGACCACGAUCCCUUCGGGGGUUGCGGCCAAAGAUGGCCUCUACUUGUAAGCUAUCGCUGAGGGAUGGGCCUGCGGGCCAUUAGCUUGUUGGUGAGGUAACGGCUCACCAAGGCUGUGAUGGCUAGCUGGUCUGAGAGGAUGACCAGCCACACUGGGACUGAGACACGGCCCAGACUCCUACGGGAGGCAGCAGUGGGGAAUAUUGCGCAAUGGGCGAAAGCCUGACGCAGCGACGCCGCGUGGGUGAU
This 397-nucleotide ribosomal RNA is filed under the name uncultured bacterium. RNAcentral's name for it is "bacterial SSU rRNA". It matches the Rfam family "Bacterial small subunit ribosomal RNA", at positions 29 to 409 of the family's 1533-position model. The record is from RNAcentral.